Non-coding RNA from Cricetulus griseus (Chinese hamster), 968 nucleotides. The record is from RefSeq and is a predicted model, not a curated record. NCBI's taxonomy places the organism in Eukaryota, Metazoa, Chordata, Mammalia, Rodentia, Cricetidae.
GACUUAAGAGGACGCAGCGGAGGGCCGUGCGUCGUGACGUCAAGGAGACCUUAUAUACAGGACUCAGCCGCCAUAUCGGCCUUUCGGAGCUGUGAGGCGACUGCGGGCAGGAAUGGUGCCGUGGACCUCUCUGGGGCUCUUUCUGGCAUAUCAUAGACAGUUUUGGGGCAAAGACGGAUGAAGGAUGAGGAUUUAUGGAAGAACCUGGAUUAACCAUGGGUACUUUUACUGGAAAAUUAAAGAUGAAAUGUGUUCAAGUUGUCUGGACAGCUUUUCAUUUGAGUAAGUAUUGGAAUCCAACACCGGCUAUAGGCCAGUUUAGAGAGGCAUGCCACGCUUGUGGAUGUCAGACAUCUGCGUGUGUUGUCUCGUGAAUGUGUUAGGUUUAGUUGGACUAUGCUCUAAUCGGGGUUUUUGUAAUGAUGUUGAUCCAAAUGUCUGACCUGAAAAUAACAUACAUGUAGACAGCAAAUUAAACACUGAAGAAUCCUGUGACAGGCAACUAAGAAUAAUUGGAUGAUGCUUAGCAUAUUUGUAAGAGGUGUUUUCUUUUAAUUCUAGCAACUGGUUGCAUGUUUGCAUUUGGAUGGCUUGCUUUGGUAAGAAGCUAGUUACUGGGCUCUUGGUUUAUGCUAAUGAGCAGGGUUAUUUGCAGUAUUAUGCAACAGUUAAUUCUUAGUACUUAAUUUUUUAUGUCCAAUCCCUGGACCACUGGAAGAGCAAUUGACAUUCUAAAUGAAGGCUAUCAGCAUGGUUCCGGUUGAAUGAAGGCACAGACAAGGUUUUCUACAAUGAUCAGAUCCUUCAUUUUGAAUCUCAAGAGCUCCUGUGGCAGAAAUGGACUUGCAAUUCAGUCAUUUUCACCUUACUAUUUAAAAGGUGACUGGCUGGCUGGCUCGAGGCUCAGGAAGAAGAUACUUAAAAGGUGUAAUCCCUUAAUAAUAUCAAAAUAAAUUGAAUUAAAUAUA